RNAcentral lists this ribosomal RNA (577 nucleotides) under uncultured bacterium. Its description in RNAcentral is "bacterial SSU rRNA". It matches the Rfam family "Bacterial small subunit ribosomal RNA", at positions 338 to 916 of the family's 1533-position model. The record is from RNAcentral.
CCUACGGGAGGCAGCAGUAGGGAAUAUUGGACAAUGGGUGAGAGCCUGAUCCAGCCAUGCCGCGUGCAGGAAGACGGCCUUCUGGGUUGUAAACUGCUUUUAUCUGGGGAUAAAAUGUCCAUGCGUGGAUAACUGAAGGUACCAGAUGAAUAAGCCACGGCUAACUACGUGCCAGCAGCCGCGGUAAUACGUAGGUGGCAAGCGUUGUCCGGAUUUAUUGGGUUUAAAGGGUGCGUAGGUUGUUUAGUAAGUCAGUGGUGAAAUCCGGCAGCUUAACUGUCGAUGUGCCAUUGAUACUGCUGAACUUGAGUACAGACGAGGUAGGCGGAAUUGACGGUGUAGCGGUGAAAUGCUUAGAUAUCGUCAAGAACACCGAUAGCGAAGGCAGCUUACUAGACUGUAACUGACACUGAUGCACGAAAGUGUGGGGAUCAAACAGGAUUAGAUACCCUGGUAGUCCACACUGUAAACGAUGAUUACUCGAUGUUGGCGAUACACAGCCAGCGUCUUAGCGAAAGCGAUAAGUAAUCCACCUGGGGAGUACGCCCGCAAGGGUGAAACUCAAAUGAAUUGACGG